GUCUACAGCCAUGCCACCCUGAACAAGCCCGAUCCUGUCUGAUCAUGGAAGCUAAGCAGGGUUGGGCCUGGUUAGUACUUGGAGGGAGACUACCUAGGAGGACCACCUAGGAAGACCAGGUGCUGUAGUAG
This 131-nucleotide ribosomal RNA is filed under the name Pteropus alecto (black flying fox). The record is from RNAcentral. Lineage: Eukaryota; Metazoa; Chordata; Mammalia; Chiroptera; Pteropodidae.